UAGGGAAUAUUGGACAAUGGGGGCAACCCUGAUCCAGCCAUGCCGCGUGAGUGAAGAAGGCCCUCGGGUUGUAAAGCUCUUUUGUCCGGAAAGAAAAGCAUUCGGUGAAUACCCGGAUGUUCUGACGGUACCGGAAGAAUAAGCACCGGCUAACUACGUGCCAGCAGCCGCGGUAAUACGUAGGGUGCGAGCGUUAAUCGGAAUUACUGGGCGUAAAGCGUGCGCAGGCGGCUUUGUAAGACAGAUGUGAAAUCCCCGGGCUUAACCUGGGAACUGCGUUUGUGACUGCAAGGCUGGAGUACGGCAGAGGGGGGUGGAAUUCCACGUGUAGCAGUGAAAUGCGUAGAGAUGUGGAGGAACACCGAUGGCGAAGGCAGCCCCCUGGGCCUGUACUGACGCUCAUGCACGAAAGCGUGGGGAGCAAACA
Molecule: ribosomal RNA, 427 nt
Filed under: uncultured bacterium
Lineage: Bacteria
Description: bacterial SSU rRNA
Rfam family: Bacterial small subunit ribosomal RNA
Source: RNAcentral